Molecule: microRNA, 22 nt
Filed under: Mus musculus (house mouse)
Lineage: Eukaryota; Metazoa; Chordata; Mammalia; Rodentia; Muridae
Description: mmu-miR-6987-5p
Source: miRBase by way of RNAcentral
UGGGACAGGGUGACAGGGUGAG